Molecule: ribosomal RNA, 497 nt
Filed under: uncultured bacterium
Lineage: Bacteria
Description: partial 16S ribosomal RNA
Rfam family: Bacterial small subunit ribosomal RNA
Source: RNAcentral
GAUGAACGCUGGCGGCGUGCCUAAUACAUGCAAGUCGAGCGAACAGAUGAGGAGCUUGCUCCUCUGACGUUAGCGGCGGACGGGUGAGUAACACGUGGAUAACCUACCUAUAAGACUGGGAUAACUUCGGGAAACCGGAGCUAAUACCGGAUAAUAUAUUGAACCGCAUGGUUCAAUAGUGAAAGACGGUUUUGCUGGCACUUAUAGAUGGAUCCGCGCCGCAUUAGCUAGUUGGUAAGGUAACGGGCUACCAAGGCAACGAUGCGUAGCCGAACUGAGAGGCUGAUAGGCCACACUGGAGCUGAGACACGGUCCAGACUACUACGGGAGGGAGCAGUAGGGAAUCUUACGCAAUGGGCGAAAGCAUGACGGAGCAACGCCGCGUGAGUGAUGAAGGUCUUCGGAUCGUAAAACUCUGUUAUUAGGGAAGAACAAAUGUGUAAGUAACUAUGCACGUCUUGACGGUACCUAAUCAGAAAGCCACGGCUAACUACGUG